GCAAAAAAUAACACUUCUUACGCUCUAGCUGCCUAAAAACCAGCAGGCGUGACCCGAUUUGGAUUGCUCGUGUUCAAUGACAGGUCUUAUUAUUAGCGAGAUACGAUUAAGCCUUGUCUAGCGGCUUGAUAAGAGAUUGAUAGACUCGCAGUUUCUAGACUUGAGUUAUGUGUCGAGGGGCUGUUAAAAUAAUACAUAACCUAUGGUUGUAGACAAAUAUGUUGGCAGGUGUUUGGACGUGGGUUCGACUCCCACCGGCUCCACCA
This 266-nucleotide transfer-messenger RNA is filed under the name Streptococcus pneumoniae PNI0076. RNAcentral's name for it is "transfer-messenger RNA Strep_pneum_R6". It matches the Rfam family "transfer-messenger RNA", at positions 93 to 374 of the family's 374-position model. Rfam says of the family: Bacterial tmRNA, also known as 10Sa RNA or SsrA, is named for its dual tRNA and mRNA-like properties. Its role is to liberate the mRNA from a stalled ribosome. Lineage: Bacteria; Bacillati; Bacillota; Bacilli; Lactobacillales; Streptococcaceae. The record is from RNAcentral.